GCCGAGCUUGGUAGCGUGAGCUUGUAACUCAAGUGAGGGCAUUAAAGUGGGAUGGACUUUGAAUGAGCUCAGAUUGGUUGGGUCAAGUGUCUGCAAUAGCUGCCUUGCCCAUUCGUUUCAAAUGAAGCAAGUGUUUCAAGCGAAAAAGGCUUGGGUCCCUUGAUUCAUAGCUGGCUUCACAGAGCUGCGACUACCUCUUGGUCUGAACAGUGAAAGGAUCACAGGCCGGUGCACAUCCUUGGCUCGAAUAAAGCUUGGCUCAUUCUAAUGGACUCCCACUUUU
Molecule: signal recognition particle RNA, 283 nt
Filed under: Helianthus annuus (common sunflower)
Lineage: Eukaryota; Viridiplantae; Streptophyta; Magnoliopsida; Asterales; Asteraceae
Description: Plant signal recognition particle RNA
Rfam family: Plant signal recognition particle RNA
Source: RNAcentral